GAUGAACGCUAGCGGCAGGCUUAACACAUGCAAGUCGAGGGGCAGCACGAUGUAGCAAUACAUUGGUGGCGACCGGCGCACGGGUGCGUAACACGUAUGGAAUCUGCCUUGUACUGGGAGAUAGCCCGGAGAAAUCCGGAUUAAUAUCCCAUAAUAGCUUGGGUGGCAUCACUCGGGUUUGAAAGCUCCGGCGGUACAAGAUGACCAUGCGCACGAUUAGCUAGUUGGUGAGGUAACGGCUCACCAAGGCUACGAUCGUUAGGGGGCCUGAGAGGGUUAUCCCCCACACUGGUACUGAGACACGGACCAGACUCCUACGGGAGGCAGCAGUGAGGAAUAUUGCGCAAUGGAGGCAACUCUGACGCAGCCAUGCCGCGUGCAGGAAGAAGGCGCUACGCGUUGUAAACUGCUUUUAACCGGGAAGAAACCCCAGGACGUGUCCUGGGUUGACGGUACCGGAGGAAUAAGCACCGGCUAACUUCGUG
RNAcentral lists this ribosomal RNA (485 nucleotides) under uncultured bacterium. RNAcentral describes it as "bacterial SSU rRNA". It matches the Rfam family "Bacterial small subunit ribosomal RNA", at positions 28 to 507 of the family's 1533-position model. The record is from RNAcentral.